GCCAGCAUGGUAUCGUGGUUUGAGCAUUGGACUAUAACUCUGGAGACCAGGGUUCAAUUCCCAGCUCAGCCA
Non-coding RNA from Phrynosoma platyrhinos (Desert horned lizard), 72 nucleotides. The record is from the annotation of a GenBank genome assembly. NCBI's taxonomy places the organism in Eukaryota, Metazoa, Chordata, Lepidosauria, Squamata, Phrynosomatidae.